Molecule: unclassified non-coding RNA, 345 nt
Filed under: soil metagenome
Description: partial contains 5.8S ribosomal RNA, internal transcribed spacer 2, and large subunit ribosomal RNA
Rfam family: 5.8S ribosomal RNA (bases 1-120)
Source: RNAcentral
GAUGAAGAACGCAGCGAAAUGCGAUAAGUAAUGUGAAUUGCAGAAUUCAGUGAAUCAUCGAAUCUUUGAACGCACAUUGCGCCCGCUGGAAUUCCAGCGGGCAUGCCUGUUCGAGCGUCAUUUCACCCCUCAAGCCUUGCUUGGUGUUGGAGCACUACCGUUUGUAUAAAGCGGUAGGCUCUGAAAUUCAGUGGCGGGCUCGCUAAGACUCUGAGCGUAGUAGUUUAUCGCCUCGCUUUGGAAGGAUUAGCGGUGCUCUUGCCGUAAAACCCCCCAACUUCUGAAUUUUGACCUCGGAUCAGGUAGGAAUACCCGCUGAACUUAAGCAUAUCAAUAAGCGGAGGA